Molecule: ribosomal RNA, 253 nt
Filed under: uncultured bacterium
Lineage: Bacteria
Description: partial 16S ribosomal RNA
Rfam family: Bacterial small subunit ribosomal RNA
Source: RNAcentral
UACAGAGGUCCCAAGCGUUGUUCGGAUUCACUGGGCGUAAAGGGUGCGUAGGCGGUCGGGUAAGUCUGACGUGAAAUCUCCAAGCUCAACUUGGAAAUGGCGUCGGAUACUAUUCGGCUCGAGGAAUGGAGGGGAGACUGGAAUUCUCGGUGUAGCAGUGAAAUGCGUAGAUAUCGAGAGGAACACCAGUGGCGAAGGCGACUACCUGGCCUGUUCUUGACGCUGAGGCGCGAAAGCCAGGGGAGCAAACGGG